UACACAUGCAGUCGAACGGAAAGGCCUGCAGCUUGCUGCGGGUACUCGAGUGGCGAACGGGUGAGUAACACGUGGGUGAUCUGCCUUGCACUUCGGGAUAAGCUUGGGAAACUGGGUCUAAUACCGGAUAGGACAGCUGUUUAGUGUCAGUUGUGGAAAGUUUUUUCGGUGCAAGAUGAGCUCGCGGCCUAUCAGCUUGUUGGUGGGGUAAUGGCCUACCAGGGCGUCGACGGGUAGCCGGCCUGAGAGGGUGUACGGCCACAUUGGGACUGAGAUACGGCCCAGACUCCUACGGGAGGCAGCAGUGGGGAAUAUUGCACAAUGGGCGGAAGCCUGAUGCAGCGACGCCGCGUGGGGGAUGAAGGCCUUCGGGUUGUAAACUCCUUUCGACGGGGACGAAGCGUAUGUGACGGUACCUGUAUAAGAAGCACCGGCUAACUACGUGCCAGCAGCCGCGGUAAUACGUAGGGUGCGAGCGUUGUCCGGAAUUACUGGGCGUAAAGAGCUCGUAGGUGGUUUGUCGCGUCGUCUGUGAAAUUCCGGGGCUUAACUCCGGGCGUGCAGGCUAUACGGGCUGACUUGAGUGCUGUAGGGGAGACUGGAAUUCCUGGUGUAGCGGUGAAAUGCGCAGAUCUCAGGAGGAACACCGAUGGCAAAGGCGGGUCUCUGGGCAGUAACUGACGCUGAGGAGCGAAAGCAUGGGUAGCGAACAGGAUUAGAUACCCUGGUAGUCCAUGCCGUACACGGUGGGCGCUAGGUGUAGGGGGCUUCCACGUCUUCUGUGCCGUAGCUAACGCAUUACGCGCCCCGCCGGGGGAGUACGGCCGCAGCGCUAACACUCAGAGGAAUUGACGGGGGCCCGCACAAGCGGCGGAACAUGUGGAUUAAUUCGAUGCAACGCGAAGAACCUUACCUGGGCUUGACAUAUACCAGACAGGCGUAGAGAUACCUCCUCCCUGUGGUUUGUAUACAGGUGGUGCAGGGUUGUCCUCUACUCGCGCCCUGAGAUGUUGUGUUAAUUCCCGCCACGAGGGCACCCCUUGUCUUUAUUUCCCCCAUUUGUUGGGGACCCCAGAAGAACGCCCGGGUCACCCCCAAGAAAGGUGGGGGGAACUC
This 1116-nucleotide ribosomal RNA is filed under the name Corynebacterium striatum. RNAcentral describes it as "bacterial SSU rRNA". It matches the Rfam family "Bacterial small subunit ribosomal RNA", at positions 50 to 1186 of the family's 1533-position model. The record is from RNAcentral. Lineage: Bacteria; Bacillati; Actinomycetota; Actinomycetes; Mycobacteriales; Corynebacteriaceae.